RNAcentral lists this ribosomal RNA (2090 nucleotides) under Kokia drynarioides. RNAcentral's name for it is "eukaryotic LSU rRNA". It matches the Rfam family "Eukaryotic large subunit ribosomal RNA", at positions 463 to 2444 of the family's 3401-position model. The record is from RNAcentral. Lineage: Eukaryota; Viridiplantae; Streptophyta; Magnoliopsida; Malvales; Malvaceae.
AUCGAUACCUUGGUGCCUUGGAUGUGCGAGACGAUCGAGCUAAAAAAAGUACGGGACCAUCGAUAACUUGGCGCCAAAAAAAUUUCCCUAUUUCAAACAUAAUAAUGUCUUCUGGUAGCAUAUCGAUAAAGUGUUUUUAGCUCUUUAGAGGCAAGUGAUCGCGAGGGACCAGAGCAAAGGGAUGUCAAGGGCACUUUCCACGCCCAUCCCAUGCCUUAAUGUCGAAGUCCCCUCACUAUCGGUUAGGUUCCUGAAGGUGCUUCAGCGAUCUAUCCUGGUAAACAUCUGGCGAACAUUUCGGUGAGACUUUUAGAAUAUAAAAAAUGGUGCGGUAGCAUCGGUGCUAAAAAAAUGUCUCUGUUUCAGACAUGUACUAGAGCAUUGGACACCAUUGGCAACUUAGGUCGAUGGUGGUGUGGGACCAUCGAGAAUCAUCGGCAUGUUUUUACCUUGGAUGUGCGGGACCAUCAGGAAGCAUCGGUACCUUAGCGCCUUAGAGGUACGGGAGCCUCCUACACCAUCGAGAGCUUAGGCCAUUGGUUGUGCGGGUGCAUCGAACACCUUCGAAAACAUAGGCCACUAUUGGUGUGGUAGCAUCGAGCUUAAAAAAAGUGUCCUUGUUUCAGACAUGUUGAUAUUUUUACGGAAGCAUCGGCACCUUGGUGCCUUGGAUGAGCGGGAGCCUCAAACACCAUCGACAUCUUGGUACCUUGGAUGUGCGGGAGCAAUACACACCAUCGGUACCUUGGUGCCUUGGAUGUGCUGGUACAUCGGCACCUUGGUGCCUUCAUUAUGUAGGAGCAUCGAGAUGAACCAGAAAUCGAGUUAUGGUGCCUAACUGUAUACUAACCUAGAACCCACAAAGGGUGUUGGUCGAUUAAGACAGCAGGACGGUGGUCAUGAAAGUCGAAAUUCGCUUAGUAGUGUGUAACAACUCACCUGUCGAAUCAACUAGCCCCGAAAAUGGAUGGCGUUUAAGCCCGCGACCUAUACCUAACCGUCAAGGCAAGGGCCAGGCCACGAUGAGUAGGAAGGCGCGGCGAUCACCGUAAAACCCAAGGCGUGAGCCCGAGCGGAGCCACCGUCGGUGCAGAUCUUAGUGGUAGUAGUUAAUAUUCAAAUGACAACUUUAAAGGUCGAAGAGGGGAAAGGUUCCUUGUGAACGGCACUUGGACAUGGGUCAAUCGAUGCUAAGAGAUAUGGGAAGCUCGUCUUAUAGCACGUUCAGCACGAGCUCUGAAAGGGAAUCGGGUUAAAAUUCUUAAACCAAGAUGCGACGGUUGACAGCAAUGUUAGGGAGUUCGAAGACGUCGAUAGGGGCCUCGGGAAGAGUUAUCUUUUCUGUUUAACGCCCUGCCCACCCUGGAAACGGCUCAGUCGGAGGUAGGGUCCAACGGUCGGAAGAGCACCGCAUGUCGCGUGGUGUCUGAUACGUCCUCUAUGGCCCUUAAAAAUCUGGAGGACCGAGUGCCGUCCGUGCCCGAUUGUACUCAUAACCGCAUCAGGUCUCCAAGGUGAACAACCUAUGGUUAAUGGAACAAUGUAGGUAAGGUAAGUCGAAAAAAUGGAUCCGUAACCUCGGGAAAAGUAUUGGCUCCAAGGGCUGGGCAUAGGGGUCCCAGUCUCGAACUUGUCGGCUAUCGGUGUACUACUCGAGCUGCUCUAACGACGAGAGUGAGUCAUCGCAUGCUGGUCGGGGGACGGACUGGGAACGGCUCCUUAAGAGGCUUUCCCCGAGCGACGAACAGUCGACUCAGAACUGGUACGGACAAGGGGAAUCCGACUGGUUAAUUAAAACAAAGCAUUGCGAUGGUCCUUGCAGAUGCUCACGUAAUGUGAUUUCUGCCCAGUGCUCUGAAUGUCAAAGUGAAGAAAUUCAACCAAGCGCGGGUAAACGCUAGGAGUUACUAUGACUCUCUUAAGGUAGCAAAAUGCCUCAUCAUCUAAUUAGUGACAUGCAUGAAUGGAUUAAGGAGAUUCCCAUUGUCCCUGUCCAUUAUCUGGCAAAAACCACAGCCAAGGGAACGGGCUUGGCAGAAUCAGCGGGGAAAGAAGACCCUGUUGAGCUUGACUCUAGUCUGACUUUGUGA